RNAcentral lists this long non-coding RNA (43360 nucleotides) under Glycine max (soybean). RNAcentral describes it as "long non-coding RNA (GMAX_LNC001644)". Lineage: Eukaryota; Viridiplantae; Streptophyta; Magnoliopsida; Fabales; Fabaceae. The record is from RNAcentral.
GCACUUCUCCUUUAUGGUAAUUUUGUUUUGUUACCAGGGUAGUUUUGUGAAUAAAGUUAAAAUAGUGGUGGUGGGUUUUUUGCAGGCGUGGUUAUCAUAGCGCCUGUUGUAGUAACACUCAUGGCAUGAUGCAACUCAACUUUAUUAUUAUUAUUUUAUCUAGGCUUUCUUGUAGCUAGUUACACUCUGUCUGUUUCCAUUGGCAUUGUAGUUGUACACUCUGCUUGGAAACUUGGGUGCAUUUCCCAGUAGAAAAUUUUAUAUUUUUCCUUGUGUGAUUUUGUAGAAAUUAAAUGAAAUGAAAUUGUUUCUCUCUCGAUUUUUAAGGGCAUGGAGUUAUGUUCCCGAUGAAUAAUGAUAAUAAUGCAUUGGAGGGUAAAGCCACAAACAAGCUGUCACCUGCUCCAUCUGCUAUCUGCAUGCACAGUCUUUAGUUUUUCGUCCAUUUCGAUAAGGACAAGAACAUUGUUCUGCCGCAACGCAAACUCCCUUAGGCAAAGAAGCUUCAGUUUUCCCCCUGAUUCUGUUAAGUAGUUUUCUAUGGUUGAGAUAAUAGGAAAAUUAUUCGGUUUUGUUGGGAACUUGGGAGCAUGUAGGUGAUGAAGAAAUACUACUUAGUUGGGUUGAAAGAUAAAAUGAAUAAAAUAAAAGGAAGAAAAUGAAGAUAAGAUAAAUUUAAAUAAGUAAAUUUGUCUUGCUAUGUUAUGAAAAAUUAAAAGAAAUGAAAACAAAUGUUCUUGUUCGGCUAUAUCAAGAUAAUAGAAUAAACGUAAAAACUGUAACAAAUAUAUGCAAAGUGAAUGCAACAAUAAAAAAUCUAAUGUACCUGAAUCCAAAGUUAACGAGGCAACAAAAGUUUCUUCGGUUGGUAUAUAUUGAAUUUAUAUUUUAGAAGGACACGAGUUUAAAUAAGAAAUCUUUGGCAUGUUGUAAUAUGAAAGUAUCUUUUAAGCAUUUUUUUUAGCCUCAAGAUCUAUGUUGGCCUUAGCGAGUGAGUAUCUUUUAAACAUAUGCAAGCACCUUUUAAAUGUCCAGUGGGCAUUUUGACUAAAAUGGGGUAUUUUUUUUUAAAAAAAAUUAUCAGAUGGGAAUAAUUUUUAAAGUCGUAUAAUUUUACAUGAUUUUUGUUUUUUAUUUUUUAUGAAGUCGUAAGUUGAGACACUAUUAUUUUAUGUUUUAUUAUUUUUUUAUUGUUUCAAAAAGAAGUCGUGGUCUUCUACACGACUUCAAAAUCUUGGAAGGUUUUACAACUUAUGCUGAUUUUUUUUUUGUUUUAACGUUAGUUUUAAGAAAUCGUUUAGUAUUUUAUGCACUUAUGAAUUAAGAAAAAUAGUAAUUUUGUAUGAAGAUGAUAGUAUUAUUAUUUAAUUUGAUUUGAUAAAGUUAUUUUAAUAUUAACGACAUUAAAUAAUUUAUUAAUUAUUUAAUUUUAUUUUCUUUAUAAAUCUUUGCAAAAAUUUAAGUAUUUUGUUUUCAUCAUUUCCUAAAAAAAUUUACAAAAAUUCAUAAUAUCAUAAACAAAAAAUAUAAAUUCACUAUUUUUUAAAAUAAAUUAAAAACCUGCAUCACGGGAGAAAUAUUAUAACAAAAACUCUUUUGAAAUAUAUUAAUACGGAAGAAGAAAAUUUUUUAAAGUCGAAUAAAAGGCUAUGACUUCAAAUUUUGAAUUAUAAAACACGAAAUAAUUGUGUCUCUAUUAAGGACUUCAUAAAAAUAAAAAUAAAAACAAAAGUGGCAUAAAAUUAUAUGACUUUUGACUUUGAAAUCAUAAACAUCAAUAUGACUUAUUCUCUUUUGGAAAUCAAUUUAAAAAUUACUCUCAUUUGUUAAAUUAAAAAAAAAAAAAAAAAGGAAUUACUCCCUUUUAGUCAAAAGAUUCGUCGAGUGAUCAAACUAGUUUAAAGAUACUGCACACACAGGGAAAGCAAGGUAAAUCCAAAAACUCAGAGAAAGUAUUGGACAUUCCAACAGCCAAUGAUGUCAUUACCUUCGGAGGCAUUAGGCAAUGGAGAUAAGUCCUUUUUGCGUCUUCCUUUUGUUUAGUCAAAAUUGAGUAAACAGACGAAUCUAGUAGUACUUAAACGUUUUACAAAUACAUCAUUUUUUAUACAUAUGUUUUAAGAGCUUUAAAUGCAUGCUUUUUAUAAUUAGUGUAUAAUUGUACAUUCACUGUAAAAAAAAAUUAUACUAAUCCUUUGUUUUGUUUAAUAAGAAUAAAGAGAAAUAAGUAAUAUAAAAAUGUCAAAUUUUUAUGAUAUGUUAAAGAGAAUAUGAAAGUUGAUUUGCAUGCCGAAAAAAUAAAUAAAAAUAAAAUUUGACCAACAGCAAGUGGGUGUAAAUAAUGUGUUUACAGAAAGGAGUUGUAAUGUAAGCGAUAAACAGAGUUUGGGCGUGAGAUCUUACAAUGUACACCGAUCGAACAUGCCUUUGUUCUUGUUGUCUGAGCAAUUACAUUUACAUAGACAUAAACAAUGGACACGUCAAACGUGAGGUGAGGAAAGCCAUCAAUAAUUAAGUACAACAAAAGAAUCCUCUUCUUGUUUCUCCAGCUCUGUUAUGCAGCUUCAUUCCACUUUGACGUGAAGGAUUUGCUUUCGCCAAUCUCUUGGCUGCAAAAUGUUUUUUUAAUUUCUAUUUAACCAAUCUUAACAAUUACUGUCACAAUUGGCCAAAAUACUUUAUAGGGUUUAUGGGAAAUUAUUUUACCUAUUUCAUAGAAGAGCUCGUUCACGUUUUGUGCGGUUUUUGCUGAAGUUUCAAGAAAAGACAAGCCAUUUUCUUUGGCAUAUUCCUCGCCCUCCUGCAACCAUCAAUUCAAUUACAAAGUUCGUCACAUAAAAGAUGAGUACUGAAACAAAUCAUGAGAACAAUUCACUAGAAAUACCUCAUAUCUGACUUUUCUCUCGGCUUCCAAAUCAGCCUUGUUAGCCACCAAAAACAUUGUCAAACUUGAAUUUGAUGAAGUGAAUUCUCAAAUUAGUACCGUUUUAUGAAGUUGUGAUGAACUUUUUCAGAAUGAUUCAUAGAAGUCAACUUAGCCCAAGUUCACAACUUUUUAAGUAUGCAGAAAAGAAAUCUGGUUCUCAAUUUUUAGAUGUAGUAACUUAUGAUGUGCGGGGGACAAGGGUAGGAGUAGGAUUAAGGCUAUCAAGAGGGAGAACAUUUUUUUUAUGUAAAUAAAUACUUUCGUCUGAAAACUUACUCUUACCAAUGAAUUUAUGAUCGUGAUAUAUGCCACAUGUUUACAAGAUUCUAGCGUCAGACAAUUUAUAUUAAGCUCAAUAAUACAGUAGCUUUUAAAGUUUGUUCAAAAGAUAUAUACAUUUUGGCAGUUACCUUGUCUUAGAACUUCUCGAACCCACUUCUUUGCUCGUACAAAAGAAUCCUGUGCCAGAGUAUGAAUUAUUUAUUCAGCCAGAUAUGUUCACUGUAAAUGUAAUAAUAGACAUCUAAAUAAAACAUAAUACUGAAUCUUUUAAAGGAUAAAUACAGUAGAAUAAUCGUGAAUUAGUGAUAUACUUCUAUUAAGUAUAUUGAGAAUAUUUCAACUACAUAAUUAAUUAAUUACCAUGCUUGUGAUGUCAUACACAACAAUGGCAGCAGCAGCACCUCGAUAGUACAUAGGAGCCAAACUGUGGUAUCGUUCCUGCCCUGCUGUGUCCCAUAUAUCAAAUUUUACUGUCGCUUCAUUUAAAGACAAAACCUGAGUGAAGAAUGCUGCUCCAAUUGUUGAAUCCUGGUACUCGGAAAAUUCACCUUUGACAAAUCUAAGAACCAAACUUGUUUUCCCUGCCCCCAUGUCCCCAAGAAGAACCUGGGAUAUCAUAGAUGAUCUGAUCAUGAUCUUUAUCAUGUUUAACAUCGUUGGAAUAUUUUCUUCUGCUAAUGAUGCAUAAUGUAUGUCCUUUUUUAUCAUAGGAAAACGAGGGAGGGAACAAAAAUUUGAAAUUUGAACCAAAGAAAAAAUUAGAAAUUUUCUUUCAUCUUUACUUUUUCUUCAUUUUCACUUCAACUACACAAUAAAACUUUUGAAAUUUGAAAAGUUUUCUUUCUUUCUCUCAACCAAAUUAUAUAGGGUAACUGGCCAGAAAAGUAAAGGAUGGGGAUUGACAUAAAUACAUAAUAUUUUACUUGGCAGAUUGAAGAAGCACUCACGUUAUUAUGCAAAAUUCAACUAGAACUAAUCAACGACUUCGCAAAAAUCUUACUUGGAGCAUGCAAGGAUAUUAUAUGUAGCUUGAAUAGCACUCUGCAAGUCAUUAAUAUAGUCGCUAACUGAAUGAAUAACUAAAAAUCUUGUUUUCUACAUGAAUGGUUAUGGUUUUAUAUGUAACUUGUUCCCCCAAAAGAGAGGGGUGGACAAUACACACAACCCAAAGGCUUACAGCUUACUUGGUCAAAAUACACGUAUGGUUUUAAUCAUAUACAAGAAUUGUACUUCUGUAAACGUAUAAACGAUUUUGAAUAAAAAAGUAUAAAUUUUCUUGAAGGAUGCAGAUAGUUGUUGCACUAGCUGAUUGAAACAAAAAAAGCAGAACAUUUUUCAAUGAUGAAUCAAGCAUUAAACGAUCAUAAUCAGACACAACAGUUUCUUAGAAUCCAACACUGGUUUAACGUAAGAAACAACUUGAAUUUAAAUUAGCAAUAUAUACAAGUUAUUUGCUUGUCCUGUCCUAGUAUAUGUGAUAUGAUAUGUUGUUCUGGCUUAGGGCCUAAUAAUAUGUCAAACAGGAGCUAUUUCUACUUUUUGAAUGGAGCUGAUCGUCAUCAUAUCAAAUCAAAAAAAGGUGGGGAAGACAUACCUACCAGUUUUGCUUGUAAACUCUUGUUUCCUGUCCUCGCCAUAGCUUAGAUGAUCUAUGGGGGGAAAAAGAGAGAAAAUUUCUUUAGUGCUCCUAAGAUUAAAAGGAUAAGCCAAGGAGAAGGCAAAUGUGUUAGUAAUGAGAAAAGGGAGAGCUUGAAGGCUGAAAAACAAUAGUCCACGACUGGUAGUUUGUUGGUUGGACUAGUAAGUAAGCUGAUAUGUAUAAAACUUUUUCUUUGAAAUUAUCCACGACUUAUAUUUUAAAUUUUGCUAAGGUCCAUGAGUUAGCUUUUAAAUUUAAUCAAAUUUAUAUCUAGUUAAGCUUUUAUGAUUAUAAAUUAGCAACACUGUAUUUAAUAUUUUUGUCCUUUUCAUUUUACGAAGACUUUUUUUUUUUAAAAUCUUACUUUUAGUCUUCAAAAUUUGAUCAUAUCAUCCAUUAGUUUUUGUAUUUUACAGAAAAUUUGUUUUAGUUUUUUUUUUUAAAUUAUUAAUAUGUCUCUUUCAAACAUAUUAAAUUGUAACUUUCAAAUGUUUCACUUUGUGUUUGUUUUGAUCGUAUUCUUCAACUUUUGUUGUUGUAGAUUUAUUCUUAUGUUUUCUUCUAAUUUUAUUUGUUUAUUUGCAUGACAUAUUUAUGUUUUAACAAAAAUUGAUAUUUUCCUUCUAACAUAAUUUUUUUUUAAUAAUGGUUUUUACAAUUAGAAUAGGUUUUUACAUGGGUGUUAUAUUGGGUUACAGGUAAAGAGACGAAAAAAUAGAGAAUAAUGGUUAUCAUUUCAAUAAAAAAUAAAAUAAAAAUUUCACAAAAUGUCAUAUAAAUUUUAAAGAUUUAUCUCUUUUUAUUUUAUUUUCAUUUAAAAAAAAGGAAAAUGUCCAUUUGAGUCUCAUUAUGAUUGAUUUCUAUAAAAGAUGUUCGGGAAGAAGAAUUAAAUUAUUAAAUUUUUUGAACUGAAAACAAUGAAAUAGUUUAAUAUAUUUGUACAACACUUAAAUAUUUCACUCUUAAUAUAUAUGUAAUAAUGUAAUAAAUGUAUAACUCUAUCAUUGUUUCACUCUCCCCGUCCUUCAUCACAUUCACUCUCACUUAAAUAUUCUCCUCAUCAUAUAUAUAUAUAUAUAUAUAUAUAUAUAUAUAUAUAUAUAUAUAUAUAUAUAUAUAUAUCAUCUUCCAAAUUCAAAUAUGCUUGUAACACGUAUAAGACAUAUUCUCUAGUACUUUUAAUAUCAACUACAUUAUUUAAAUUAACAUUUUAUCUUUUUUUUUUAAUAUAUUUAGUUCUACCUUUAAAAAAAUUAUAACUUGAGUUUCAAUAUUUUUAAAUACUUAGUUUUAAAAAAAUACUUAGCUUCCAGCACGUGUAUACGGAAGGUAGCAAAACUGCAGAUUGGCUCGUUAAAGGGGAAUCUCUUAUCAACAAGCUAGAUUUAACUAUCUUGCAGCAGUGCCAUAGUUCUCUUUUUGUUGUUUACUUUGUUCAUGUUAUUAUGGGACUCUCUUCCACGAGCUCCUAGUUUUUUUUUUCUUUCUUUCUUUGUCUUUAUUUUCUCAAUCAUAAAAAAAUAAAAAUAUUAACUCAUUAGCUUAUAACGCUAUUUUAAAUAAAUGAUAGUUUACAAACAUAAUUUAUAAAAAAAAUAUAUAUGUAGUUGUUCUAUCAAUUUGUUGUCAAUGGACUCCCAACGUUUGACAACAACGAAUAAUUUUUUUUGAAAAAAAUUAAUAUCAAAACAAAAAAUAAAUGUUUUGUGGAGGUUAAAAAGUUAUUUAAGCCUAAAUUUUACUAUAAACUUAUUUUCGAGUUAAAUAUUUUUAAAUAAAAUUAUCUUGUGAUAAAUUAAAAUUAGUUUUAAAUAGUCGAAAACCAAACUAUACCUACUGUGAUCCCUACAAAAUGAAAUCAAGCAAUAACAAAACAUGAAAUCAAGUUUGUUUGAUUGUUACUUUCACUACUUUCAUUUCAUAACCUACUUUGCCAUGAGAACAAGGGCCCUACUCUGGGACUUGACGUUGAUUGCGCUGCUUUAAAACAUCUAAAAUGCAUAAAAAAUAAAUAAAAAGUUAUCCACUCUGCAAUUUGUUCUUUAAAAAAUGUAUAACAAAAUUCAAAAGAUUCCCUCUCCUCCUUUCAUUAAAAAUAUUUAAUUAUUAUAAAAAGUUUUUUUUUUUUAAAUUUAGAGUGUGUUUUUACUAUAGACAUAUACAAUUUAAAUAUAAUUAAGUAAAAAUUAUUAUAUACAGUAUCACAUAUCGCAUCAUUUUUUUAUUAGAAAUCAAUUUUUAAUUUAGUUUUCUAUCAAUGUUGUGUUUGAUGGAGUAGAAAUGGUGAAAAAAUAGAAAAGAGGGAGAAAAAAUAGGUGAAAAAUAAAAAAAGUGAGACUGUUUCUAGUUGAGUGGAAAUUGGUGAACUGAACCGCAAGAAAAUUAAAAUCGGGACGCUUGUCUUAAAUUUUGUGACGAUUUUUUUUCUUCUAACAGUUCAAAACUAUAAAAAAAAAUGCAAUUACAGAUAUUUCAUGCUCUCAUGAUCAAUCAUGUGAAUAAAAAAUCACUAACGAAGGAUUUUUUAUAUCUCUUAAAUCAAACACAUUUGAAUUUUCUUUAUAUCUCAAUUAUUUUGAUUUAAUUUAUCUAUUUUUGUCUUCUCUAUAUUUAUCUAUUCUAUUUCUUCCCUGUCACCCAAUGUAAAAAAUGAGAGAUAGGAAUAUAGUUGUUUGGCUAAAUUAUUAAUUAAUUUUGUUUGUUUAUUUAAUUAUUUUAAUUUGAUCAUUUAUUAUUAAAAAUUAAUUUAAUCCCUUAAUUUCUAAAAUUGAUGCAACAUUGUCAAUUUUGUCCAACUGUCGGAAACAACAUUAAUUGCAUGUAUACGUGACACAAUAAAAAAAAAAAGUAACAUAAAUACCACAUAAGACACCUCUAUAUAUUAUAAAUUUAAAUAGCGUUAAUGGGAUGCAUAAAAAAAAUAGCGUUGAUGGGAAGGGCAUCAUUGUAUUAUUUUUAAGAUUAAAGGUCUAAAUUAAACUUUUAAUAAUAAGAGAACUAAAUUGAACAAAUAAAAUUAAAAGAAAAAGAUAUUUAGUCAUAUUUUUAUAGUGUCUCCCCUCUCAUAAAUGGUGAAUAUGUAAGUAUUUUCUUCCUUUCAAAAAAUAAAUGUAAGUUUUUUCUUAAUAAAUCAUGUCGAAGUUUAUGAUAGAUAUCUUAUAAAUUGUGGUAUUUAAGAGAUUUUCAUUAUGGGCUAAGGAAAUGAGGGGGAAAUAUUACAUAAAAAAUUGUUGUUUUUAUUUAAUAUUACAAAUGUGUGUGUUCAGCAAAUAGUUAUAUGGUCCCCUACAGUACUUGUAGAUCUUGAGUUUGGAAAAAGCAUCUGCGAGUCUGCGACGUGUGCAAUCUACCAUAGUAAAUCUUAAUUUUCCCACGUAUGCUUGCCCUUCAUGAUCUUUUUCAAGCUGUGAAUUGUCCCAUACAAAUUUAUCAUUAUUUCUCCAUUGAUGAAUUAUCCAUGCACGUGCAUGUUGAGUCAUUUUCGUUUAUUAUUUUUUUUAAACAUAAAAAUAUUUUUCUUAGAUAAGUCCAAUCAAACACGAAUUCGAUAUAUACGAGUUUUUGAAUAUAUCUCGAUUCGUUCACUAUAGUUAUUAUUAUUAUUAUUAGAAGCCGCAUUAAUUAAUACCAAAUAAGUUAAAUAUAAUGAAAAGAGAAAAAGGAAAAAAAUAUAGAAAAAUAAAUAUAUUUAUAAGUUGUUUACUCAUGUUUGAUUGGACUUGCGAUUGGGAAACCAUGUGGAGUAUAAUAUUUUUUUAACCCCUAAAAUACAACGAGAAGAAACAAAUAAGUCCCGCAUCACGUGAGAGAGGAAAAAAAAUUAUCAGGAGAGAGAAAAAAAAAUAGAUAAGCUCAAAAAGGAUUAUUUUCUUUAUCUUAAGCAGAAAAAGACUUUCACGUGGAUCCCAGGUUAAUUUUUUUGUCCUUCCCCUGUUUUGAUAGCAAAUAGCAAAAGAUGGUAUUCUAAAAUAUUUAAUAAUAUUUAUAUUUUUUUAACACUUUCCUUAUGCAAAAAUAUAAAAUUACUUAAUUUUUUUUAAAGAAUUAAUUAUAUUUAAUAAUAAUAUACCACACCAUAACUGUAAAAAACUUUUUGAUUAUGACUUUCUUUUUUCAUAGAUUAAAAAAAGUAUAGCGCAUUUGGUUAAUCUUUUUAUUUUAAGGAAUGGGGUUUUAUAAGUUGAAUAAAUAUUUUUUUAAUCUCGAAGGAGAUUUCUAUUUAAUACUGUGUCUGUGUGUGUGUGUGUGUUUUAAAAGAAAAGUUACCUCGAGAAAAGGCCCUUGAAUUGGUAUAUGAGCGAAGUUUGUGCUCUAAGAUUUUUUGACCUCGUAAGUUUUUCAGUUUUCACCGCCGUCACUCAUGGCUUCCCAAUCUCAGGUUCAGAUGAGCAAGCUCCGUGUUUCUGUAAUACCGGAAAGUGACAGUGGCAAUGGAACGACGUCGUCGCCCAAAGGGCAGUGCCUCUGUUCUCCAACGACACAUGAAGGCUCCUUCCGGUGCCGUUUUCAUCGCUCAGCCACAGCUUCAUCAUCUCCACCUUCUUGGAUGAAACGCUCCAACAACAAUUAGCCACCCUGUCGUCGUUUAUGCCUCUCUCUCCAUUGGUUCGUGUCUAUGUUACUCAUUUUGUUUAUCCAUAAUUAACUACGUACUUUCAGAAUUUGCAAUGUGCUAAAUUCUAUAUGAGUGAUCAUAUAAAUAAUUAAUUAAUGUUGUGUAGCUCCAAAUUGCCACGAAUCACUAUUUAACUUGUUCUGAUCAAUCGUCUGUGUAUUUUGCACAUGUCUUUCUCAUCUUUCCAAAUCAUCUAUUUCUUUUGUCUCCUCGCACUCGAUCAAAUGCCAACAUAUAACUAAUCUGAAAAAAAGGAUUUUCUCUUUUUUUGGUAUGAAUUUAAGAGGUUUUUCAAAUUCUCUUAAAUUACAGACAUAUAACGUACUCCUUAGAAUUCUUCUUAAUAUCGCCCAGAUAUUUAGAUCUGUGAUUUACCUACCCGGCCCCAGUUUUGGUUAAAAAGCGGAUCCAAGCUAGGUUUCAAAUUUUACUUAAUUUGUAGCAUGAUCCAUAAUUCUAUUCACGCAUUUUCGUCCUCCUUGUUUUGUCUGAGGUAGUAGAUUAUUCCUCUGGUCAGUUUCAUCUUCCUUCUUUAAUUUUUCUGAUUUAUAAGGAUAAACAAGAGAGAUAUAAAAAAUAACAAUAAAUGUGAUAAAUCAUAUGUUGGGAAAUAAAGAGAAAGAUAAAAAGGAAAACAAGAUAAAACUGAGAUAAAAUAGAACAUCAAUCCAUGUGUGAUGAUACAUGCAUGAACUAAUUGACACUAUUUAUUUAUCUAUAUUUUUUUGUUAUUUUGUACUCCCGUCAUUUAUUACAUUUACAAUUUUCUGUCUUUUAUUUUUUAUUUCUUUUAAUGUCUUUAGAAACACACAUGUGUCCUUGCAUCAUUUUCUUUAUGAAUUAUGAGUUAUCUCCAUUGAUCUGAACCAUUUCAAGUAAAUUUAUUUAUGGGAAUGAACUUUAUUUAGAUAACAAAUGUUUUGAGCGAAAUAAAAAAAAAGAAGAAAAGAUAAAAUAAAAACAGUUGUGAAAUUUUAGUCCUUCCGUUGGAUGGAUAUAUUAAAUAGAAUUGUGUUCAUUUAUUAAAUAGAUAAACUACAAUUAUCAUACAUAAGAGAUUUAAUUGGCGUAAUUAAAAUCUGAAAAACUAAAAGUGUACAAUAUUAAUGAUAUCUAGGAAACUCAAUUAGAAUAAAUAAAACAUAGUGGUAAAUUGGAUAAUUUUAAUAUCUAAGGGAUUAAAAGUUCAAUUAAAUCUAACAUAAAAAAGUUUACAUUUUUUAAAUUAAAUUAAUUUUAAUUAAUAUAUAAAAAAAUUACCCAUUUCUUUUCUAAACAAGUAAAAAAUUAUCUCUUUUAUUUAUUUCUAUCUAUUUAAAGAACAUCUAUUUUAUUUUUCUUUUAAAUACAGAAAUUAAAAGGAAAAGCUUUUGUGACUAUAUAGAAAAAAUAAGUCGUUAAAUCAAGAGAUAAUUUUGAUAGAAACUUGCCAAUACGUAAACAAGUAAUAUAACGAGAGGGAAGAGGAUUGAGCAAAAAUAUUUUUGGAAAAUUUAGUCUCUGGUUUUCAAUCGGUCAUAACCGAUAACUCCAACUCCAAUCAAGUUACAAAAUACCCUCUCUAGAUAAUUGAUUAAUUGUUUGAGGAAAUUUGACAAUAGCCAAUGAGUAAUAUGUUACUCUACAGAAAUCGAAACUUUUAUUAGAGCUCAAAACCGAACCGGAAAAAAGUAAAAUAGCCACUGAAUUUAGUGACCAACAAAGUCAGUCGCUAACCUAUAAAAACAGAGACCGAUUAUAGACUGACACAAUAAUUUAGUAUUUUGUAAAUAAGUAAAUUUAGUUAAGUCUGCAAGUGAAUCUGCAACGGACCAUUUUAUUAGCGACUGAAAUAUUCGGUAUCAAUUUAGCAAUUGAACUCUAUUUUGGUCUCUAACGGUUAGCAGAUUGGUCUUUUGCAAUUAUUUAUUUUGGUCGCUGAUUUGAUAGCUAAGUAAGUUAGCAACUGAUGUUUACAAUAUCAGUAGUUAAUGAGCAUUUUCAUGGUAGGGGCUAUCAAAACAAAGUUGCCUAACCCAGCUCGGCAGGCCAAAUUGGCCCACUUUUUUUUUCACCCCAUCAAUUCAAUUUAAAUUUUAGAAUAAAAGAAACAAAAAUAUAGCACCACGCUUGGUACUUUUUGACAACUCUAGUCUUCUUCAUCCUUUAGAAAUAUUUCGUGUUAAUUUUUAUAUAAAACCCAUUUUCCAAACUUAAUCAUGCCAAAGUCAUCAUCAAUUUAAGACAUAUAAUCAAAAUUACCUAAGACUAAGACAAAACAAAUAGGGGAAACUACUCCAUUCAAAAUUGGACAUCCAGUGAUUGGCACACAUUUAAUUACCAUUUCUAUUAGAACCCUAUUUUGAAAAUUAUCCCAAACCUAUAAGGCUUUAAACAAUACCCAAAUUCUUAAUGUAAAAUGUGGUUAUGAAAAUGGGUAAUAUGUACUUAAGAGAGAGAGGAGAACUAAACAAAACAAUUUUUGUAAUUUUUAAAAUUGUCUCUUUUUCAAUGUUUGAUCAAAAUGAUGAGUUUUUGUUUAGUUUAUAGCCUAUAAUGCCUAAGAAUGCAACUUAUCUAUCUGAAAUUCUAACUGUAACGAAAGCUUCUAAUGCAAAUGGUGACAACUUCUAAUUUUUUCACAACCAAUCUUUGAUGCAACAAGGAAUGCAAUUCAGAAUCCAAUAUAAUCACAAAUAUCACAAUAGAAAUUCAAUAUAUCAAAAUGAACCAAUAAGUUGCAAAAUCAUUUGCACUAUACCAAAACAAUCAUAUUGAUAUCAAGAACAAUUCCAAUCAACCAAAAAUCUGAUGAAAUUGCAACCAAAAAAUAAAAUAAAAAAGUUCCAAUAGAAUACCCAAUUCAAUACCAAGUGCUUUUUUAUAUUCUUAAGUUUUUGUCACUCCUUCUCACUUUGCUUAUUUACACUCUUUGGCGUGUGACUUUGGCGCAAUUCUGGCAGGAGAACAAUAAAAUUGGGAAAGAAUUACAAUGAGAUUGAGCAUGUAAACUCGCUAGCAGCAAAUAUUGGAACAAACAAGUUGAGGUGGAAAUUGUUGUGGAUGAAGCUCAAGAAAGAGAAGAAGAAGAAGAAGAAGCUUUUUGAGUCUGCAUCACCCUUUCAGGUUCCUUAUGAUCAAUACACUUACUCUCAGAAUUUCGAUCAAGGGACUGCACUUGAUGAACCAGAUGAUCUUUCUCUGUUCGGUUUGCUGAUCCUUCCAUGGUACUUGUGAAAACAAAAGGUAGUUUAAGGCAAGGCUAAGGAAAUUAAAUUGAAACGCUGCUAUCUCUUUACAAUGCUAAAUGCUCAUAGUUAUGUCUGUAUAUAUAUAUAUAUAUUUUGCGUGGGAGGGGGUUCUAAUGGUUUUCUUCAUUGUAAUCCCAUUAUUGUGUUUAUGCGUUUUUGUGUGUGUUUUUAAUAUUUUUGAGAGCAGAGGUCCUUGGGUUUGUGCGAAAUUGCAACAUCAAUGACGCCGUUGUUACAGACUUGCGAAGGUGAGGGAGUGAAAUAGGCGCGUCAAUGAUGGUGUUCGGGUUGUUUCCAAGCGCUGCGAUGUUGUUUGUGACUUGUGAGUCCAAGACAAUAAAUUUAUGUUAAUAAUUUCACUAAUCAACAUUUUUAAGAAGAAAAAAAUGAAAAUUAAUGAAUAAAUCAAAAUCCUUAAUUUUUAAAAAUAAAAAAAUCAAAUAUCUUAAUUAACUUUAGAGAUUAAACCGUGGAUUAUAAGACUAAGAAAUCAAAAUUAUAAUUAAAUAUAUAUUUUUUUAACAAUAUUUUAUUAUUUAUUGAACAAAUAUGUAAAAUUUUUAUUAUUUUAUUUUUACUUUUUGGUAGAGAAAAAUAGAAAAAGAAAAAGCUCACCCAUUCUUUCCAGUCUUCCACACUUGCAGUAGUAUGACAAACCCAACGUGAAUCCGGAACUUGAAGCUACUCAAUUUUUUCCUCCUCUUAACGGUUAAUUAAAUUAGGGUUUUCGAUUUCGGUUUCAGAAGAGACUUAGCACUCUCCAAUGGCGACGAGGGUCCACCAAUUCUUCGACGAACUCGAAGCGAAGAAAACCAUUCUCGCCAAAUGCACCGACCUCUUCACCACCCUCUCCACCCACUUCUCCUCCCUCCAACACUCCGUCGCCGAGAAAUCCCAAUCCCUCGAUUCAAAGCUCCAAUCUCUCGAUUCCCUCUCCAAAGAAACCCUCGAAUCCCUCCACCGCCGCGAGACCUCCAUCCCGGAGCGCGAGUCCUCCGCCGCCGCCCGCAUCAAGGAGCAGAGGGAGGCCGCGCUCGCAGAGCUCCUCCGCGCCACGCCUCCCCCGGACCCCGACCUCUCCGCCACGCUCAAAUCCCUGUGGAGGAAGAUGGACGCAGCGGCGCUGCUGCGGUUCGUGGUGUCGAAGCGGAAGGAGUCGGCAUCACUGCGGGCGGAGAUAGCGGCGGCGAUGGAGGAAGCGGUGGACCCGGCGCGGCUGGUGGUAGAGGCAGUGGAGGAGUUUCUGAAGAGCAAGGUGGCGAAGUCCGGGGUGACGGAUAAGAGGUGGGCGUGCGGGCUUGUGAUACAGGCGCUGAUGGUUUCGUCAGAGUCAAGGGAACAUUCUAGAAAGAUCGUGGAGAGAGCCGUUGCGGUUGUGGAAACGUGGAAGGAGCAUUUGGAUGGGGAAUCAGAGAGUGGUGCUGCCGAAGUCGUCAUGUUUCUGCAGAUGGUCGUGUGUUUCGGAUUGAGGUCUAGGUUUGAUGAUGACUAUUUGAGGAACUUCGUUAUGCAAUUUGCUUCUAGAAGGGACAUGGCAAAGCUUGCUGCUUCCUUACAAUUCGGCGACAAGAUCAUAGGUUCGUCUUUUCUUUGCCUAUUUACGUUGAAAUGUAGGUAUACAGAUGACUUAUGAUGUAAUAGGAAGAGAGAUACAGACAAGUAAUUAGUGUUGAUGGAGUGUUUCAUGUCUGAAUAUUAUCACUCAAUAUUUUAUAGACGAAAAUGCAAGGAAGCUGGAAUUUUAUGGUAGUGAUGGGUUGGGAAAAUGGAAAGUCUUAUAGUAAAUCAGUAGGAAAGGGUGACUGCCAAAAGAUUUUGUGAUGGUGGUAGUGGAGGUGGAAAAUGGUGGGAAUGGGCUAAGAAAAAUUAGUAAUUGAGUCAUUUAGGGUUUGAGUAGAGAGUUUACAGGUUUUCUGCUUACAUUUCUGAGCUUAGGGAGUCUUGUUGGGAGCUCAAAUAUACCUGGGUUUUCUGCACAUAAUCAUAGUUUAAACUUGGAAGUGAUUCCUGUGUAUUAGCUUAUUUUCAUAUCCCUAAGUAUGUUGGUAUGGUAUUUUUUUUUUAAAAAUAUUCUUCAGUUUUUUAAGAGGAAGGGAAUUCUGAUACAUUACCAAGAGUUAGUAUGGAGAGCAUAAUUUAGAACAGGGCUAUGGGGUUUUGGGUCAUCAAAAUUUUAAAAUACAGUGGAGCUGAUUGAAAUUUAAAUAUUUUUCUUCAAGGAGUUUGCUUGUUUCUUUUCCUUUCGAAAUAGAUUUUAUUGACUUAUAAGCAUUUCUUUGUGCCACCCUGCUGAUUUUCUCUUUCAAUGUUGCAUCUGCUCAUUGGUAAAUGUUAACAUGCCAGAGCCUCCUACUUGCUAUGUUAGCUAUUACCUUUCUGCAACCUUUCAUCAAAAUAUCUUGAUUUCCUAUACUUCCAAAAAUCCUCCUCAAUUUUCCCAUUACACCUACCCUUGUAGACAUGUAGGUGUAGCUGUCUAACGAGUUAAUUUUUCUCUGUAAUAAAGUCACCAUAAGACAUAGCCUAAAUGGCUAAAUCAAAUGUUAAGAGAAAUGCUGACCAAAAAAAAAUGUUAAGAGAAAUUCAGUUGUGUUAUCCUAUACAGAUUUUACCUUGUUUUUGAUUUAUUUGACACUCAUUGUCAUACUUUUACACUUCUCAUUGUGAUUCUUCUUUUUUGGCCAAUGCAUACUUAUUUGCAUAGACUAAUUAAAGCAAAUGAUUUAUGCAGAUAUUAUAGAUGAACUAAUUAAAAAUGGCAAAGAGAUAGAAGCUGUUUAUUUUUCUUCAGAAUCUGGUUUGACUGAAAGAUUUCCUCCAAUCGACCUACUCAAGUCCUACCAUCGGAACUACAAAAAGAAUGUUAGUGCCAUAUUCAAAAAGGGAAACAACAAUCAUGCUACUAUGGUCUGCAUAAAUACCUUUCUAUUCUAAUUCAGUUUCAUUAGUGUGUUUAUGUUAAAUAAAAAAGAAUGUAUGCCAUUGAUGGAUUGCAUUGUUAAAUCUGUCUCUAUCAUUUUUUAGGAUGAUUCAAGCACUUCGGAGUUGAAUUCCAUUAAGGCUAUAAUCAAAUGUGUAGAAGAUCACAAGCUUGAAUCAGAAUUUAACCUUGAUAAUUUGAGGAAGCGAGCUACCCUUCUGGAGAAAGCUAAGGCCGAAAAGAAAAAGGGUUCAACAUCCAGAAGUAAACCUCAGAACAAGCGAGGCAGUGGAUCCAGCUCUUCACGUCCAGCCAAAUCAGCCAAAUUUAACAGUGCACACUCAUCAUCUUUCAGUCGCAGGAACCUGGCACCUUCUCUACAACCCAGUCCUGGUGCAAGAUUUUCUGCUCCAUUCAACUACCCCAGCCAAACCAUAUACAAUGGUGCAACUGCUAAUCCUUAUGCAGCAACCUAUGGAACUUCCCACACUCAAAGCCCGGCUGGAAUAACACAACAGCACUACUCUAUUCCUGUUGACAAUUUGGGUCCGUCUGGUUACCGGUCUAGUGGUUCUUAUUCAGGACAGACUAGCUAUGGCCUAUACGACUACAGAAAUGGUGCUCCUCCAACUUAUCCACCUCCAUACUCAGUAGAUGAAACCACCUACAGGGGAUAAGUUUUCGUCCUACGUAUCCUUUUUCUUCCCGUUGUUUACUUUAGAUGCUACUUUCAUUUAGUUUACUUCCUGUUUUGUGAUGCUAAAAUUGGAAAAUAUAAUAGGUUCCUGGGAAUAGUACUUAUUCAAAUACAUAGAUAUAUGAUGCCAACCGCAGACAAGGCAAAGUUCGUUCUUUUUUUUUUUUUGAAGUUUUGACUUUUUCUUUUUGAAUGUAAUUAAUUUCCCCUUUUCUUCGCUAGAGCUAUUAGUCAGAGGUUUGUUUCACCUUUUCCUUUUAUUUGUUAUAGGCUAUUUUCUACAUUUUCAUGCCGUUUCAAUGUAUUUCCAAAUUAGCGUCUAAAAGAACUGCUAAAAAUGCUAUUCUAGUUAUAACUUAUACUUUUAAUUUUUAAUCGCAAUAAAAUGCAAUCAACAUAUCUAUUACAUCAUGAGUCUAUGUUAACUAACGUUCAAUCCCUGAAAAUGAGGAAAAGGCUUUGUUGGGAUAAAUGAAUUUCAGUUUAGGAAUCUACAGCUUAAAAGAGAUUAGUCUCGGGAAUAUUUUUCGUGCAUAACAAAACAUUUGUUACAACACAUUGAGACAUAAAUUUUCAUAAACAUGUUAAAUACUCCUUUAGAUACAAGGAGAAAGCAAAGGGUAAUACAAAAAUGUAUUUAAAUAGACUAACUUCUGUUAAAGUCAUUGUCAAAGAAUCACCGAGAACAGACAAUGACCUUGCAGAGGGUAAUUGUUUAUUGUACUCUCACUAUUGCAUCCCAUAUUACAUUCCGAAAAAUUCAUUUGAGAAUGUAAAUUUACAUUUUAGAAUGGAUUUUUUGAAUUUUUAUGAGAGGUGCAUGAGUAAGAAUGUAGGAAAUAAAUUUUCUUAUAGAGGCAUGGUCCAAGUCCAAGGCCCACCAGCGUAUUGUGCGUCUUGGGCUUUUUAGUUAACAGACAUUGAAGUAUUCUUGUUAAUAUCAAUCUCCUAAUAAAUCUUUAGUAUUUUAUAUAAGAACCAUUGAAAACAAUUUUAUAUCUUAAUCAUGAGAAAUAUUAUCAUUUUAAAAUGAUUUGCUAAUUUUAUUAUACUCUUAAUUUAUUGUAAAAUUUAUUAAUAGUUGUUUACUUAUUUUUUAUAAAAGUAAAUAUAUUUAUUAGACUAUUAAUAAUAUAAGUUAUACUUAUUAGUAGAAAAAAUAUUUCAUGAAUUACAAAUAAUAUCAUUAAAUAUAACCAUUACUUACGCCAAUAAAUAUAACCUAACGAAAUCGGCUUGGAGUCAGACGACCACGUAACAUAUCAGGAAAGCAACGCAUUUUAUUAUACUCAUCCCGAUUCAUUAUAAUUGAUUAAUUAUAGUAUGAGAAAAAAUUAUCUUAAUAUAAUUAUUAUUUUAAUUUUUUAAUAUGAUAUUAAUUAAUUUUUCAUUUUAAUGUAACAUUAAUUAUUUGUUUCCGCUUAUACAUCAAUUGUUGUAUAAGAAGAAAUGUAAUAUUAAUUUUUUUAGGUUAAUUUUAUAAAAUUAUUAUUUUUAUUUCUUUUAUUUAAUUAUUUUUUUCUUGAUAUGUAUAAAAAAAUUUAAAACGAUAAUUAUUUUGGGAUGGAAAGAUUAUGUUAUGAUUUAGCACACUCCAGAAUUUUUGCAGCAGCGUUUAGUUUAAUGUUCAAUUAUUGAUAUAUAUCUUGAGAAAAUAUAAUCUAACAAGAUUAGUUGGAUAACAGCUCACAUGUGUCGGUUAUUUAAAACAAGUAAACAAUUAUAUAUACAUCAAAUGUGUUUGACAUUCUAACAUACAAAACAAUACUUUUAAGAUAUGGAUGAUAAUGAUAAUAAUAAUGAUGAUAAUAAUGAUAAUGGUGAUGUUAGUAAUCAUGAUGACGAUGUGUAGUGAUGAUAAUGACAGAUAAUAUUUAUGAUGAUGACGAUAAUAGUGAAAAUGAUUGUGAUGAUGAUAACGGUGAGAAUGAUUGUGAUAAUAAUAAUAAUAAUAAAAAAAAAAGUGUUAUGGUCAAAUUUUGAAAAAUGAUUUUUUAAAAAAAAUUAAAAAUCAAAUUCAUGAAAAAAAAUCUUGAUUUUAAAAACAAGUAUAAAAUGAAUAAAAAAAUUAAAAUUUAUUUCAACUCCAUUUUUAUCAAAUACAUUUUAUUUUAAAAUUAUAUUUGAAAUGAAAAUUAAGAAGUCUUGCAACUGCCUCAAACGGAUCCUAAGUAAAUGAUUUUUUGGUAGCAGGUGAAUGAAUCACAAACCCGGUUCGUUUGACUAGUUAUCAUUGUAGGAUUAUUAUACUCAUCCUCAAAAUUCUCUCUCUUGGGGAUACAUAAUUAAUUUGCUGGAAAGAGAAAGAUAUUUAUUUUAUAAGACUUCAAUAGAUCGGGUUAACAUGCUGCUGGUUAUAAUGUCUUUGUCAUGUCGUGCAACUGCUUGAAGUUUCAUCUUUUAUUUUUUCACUCAGUUGAAAAUAUACUGUAUUAUAACGUUUUCCCUCUAAGAAGAAAAUGAAGCACUGACUUAGUCAUCCAAAUCCCAAUUUUAAUUGCAAAGCCGCCUUGGAAAAUCUCGUCAUGACGUUUCUGAACAAAGACACAAUUGUUUGCUUAUACAAUUUUUUACUUUAAGAAAAAGAUUAUUCGCUUUGUGAUACUCCUUUCCUUGGCCUAUAAAGCUAACAUCACAAAAUAUCAUAUUCAUACUUAUAUACCAUACAGUAGGACGACGGUUCCGUUCCGUGAGAGCAACUCCACAAGCAUAUCUACAAAUAUAUAUUUAAAUGAGAAAAAAAUUAUUUACUCCAAAAGUAACUUUUCUUUAUCAUUUAUUUUCUCAAAAUCUAAUAAUUGUAAUAUAUAACAAAUUUUAACCAUUAGAUUUCAAAAAAAAUAAAUGAUAAAAUAAAAAAUAAAUCUAAAAAAAUUACUCUUGAAACAAGCGGAUUCCUCCUCUUUAAAUAUAUAUUAGAUAAAUUAUACAAGCCGAAGAGACACCUAACACACUCAAACCGAACACAUCCUUCAGUCAUGUAUCCACAUAUACCGAACAAUACGUUUCGUCCUUCAAUGCAUGAGCAACAAGCAUCAUUCAGCUGCAAUUAUCACCACUAAAUUUGCUUAAGGAUAAUCACUCAAUUAGGGACACCUAAGCAUGAUUAAAAGGAGUAUUGCUCAACUAGUAAUUAUUGUGUGAUAGACACAUAGACCCAAGGCCCAACAAGGUUAGUAUAAAAAGGGGUGAAUCCUCGAGUAAGGUGAGUGAUUCAUUCUCACCUACUCAUUAUAUAUAUCAUUAAUAACUCUAAGUCGAACCCUCACUUGAGCAUUGCAGCAUUUUGCAGGUAUUCUUCCCUCUGCUCUGUCAGAUGCUCAUGCACCUGAAUCUUCGACAAGGAACAACUAGCAGAUGACCCUUCAACUCUAGAGAUCCUUCAACAUAGUAGAAGGCCCUUUGGCAAAAGGACGAGUACUCGAUCCAUUUGUGACAAUAACAAUUUGGCGCCCACCACGAAGCCAGGUAACAUAUAUCUCGACCCUGAGAAUUUAUGACUAUAAUAAGAACUAAAACGAACAUAACAACAAUGGAGCAACCGACUAAUCACCACAACGAAGAUGUUCGAUAGAAGACCAGACUGACCUGUUUUCCAUAGUCAGGAGACUACAAGCUUAGGUCUCCGACAUGCAAAAACACCAUGCUGAGGAAAUUGUUGCCCUUUCGAACAAGAACACCAUCUUCAAGAAGCACAUAGGUCCCGACAACCUGAGGCUAACCCGUCAAAAGAAGGGGAGGUUGAAUCAACCGCCAUAGGCUUACUUAGAGCCAUUAAUAUGAAUGUGUGUUCGAAUGCUAUUUCCUCGACUUGCAACACCCUUGGAAGACAACUGUCAUAGUUCAAGAAUUCGUUCAUCCCUUCGGCAAUAAAAGCGCAUAACUGUCACGAGAGGUAACCAUUUCAACAUGUCAUAAAGACCUUCAUUUCGGCCGAGGCCAAAAAAGGGCUUAGGGGGCUAGUAUACCGGAUAAAGUACACGAUCAGGCCGGAGGGAUACCUAGCACACCCUUCAACCAUGUAUUCAUAUAUGUCGAACAAUACAUCUUAGUCUUUAGCAUACAUGAGCAACAAGCAUGAUUCGACCCUGUUUAUCACCAUUAAAUCUGCUUAAGGAUAAUCACUCAAUUAGGGAUACCUAAGCAUGAUUAGAAGGAAUAUUGUUCAACUGGUAAUUAUGAUGUGACAUGCCCUCAGACCCACCCCAGGCCCAACAAGGUUAGUAUAAAAAGGGGUGAACCCCCAGCUAAGGGGAUUGAUUCAUUCUCAUCUACUCAUAUAUAUCAUUAAUAGUUAUAAGUUGAACCCUCAUUUGAGUGUCAAAGUGUUUUUUUAGGUACCCUCCCCUUCGCUCUUCUAGAUACUCAUACAUUCAAAUUCUUGACAAGGAACAAUAGACAGAUGAUCUUUCGACUCUAAGACCCUUUAACGCAAUAAAAAAUCCUUCUGUAGAAAAAUGAGUACCCAAUUCAUUUUGUAAGAGGAACAAAAUAUAUGUUGAUAUAUAAUUAUAUACAAAGUACUAAGUUAAAGAUAAAGUUCACAUCAAAAGUAAAGGUCAAAGUAUAAACGUAUAGUGAAACCCUUUGUCAAUUAUCAUCUAGGAGUGUUUUUUUUGCAUAAUCAAUUUCAGCCUGUCAUCAUCAUUGACUUAAACCAGAAAAAAAUAGAAUCGUUGAAAGAUGUGUGUAUAAAGGAUAAAUUAAAAAUCUUAAGAAAUAAAUAUUAAAACACAAUAGUAUGAGAAACUUUUUUCAGCCUUUGGAUACAUCUAUUACUCAAUGAAUCACCUUCUUUUCCUAGUCUUGACCAUAAGGGAUUGCUUUUUACAAACAAAGGACCCCACGUGGUGAGUGGUAAGACUAAGAUUAGUGUUGGGCAAUGAGGUCUUUAUGCAUUUUUCCAUUGUCGUUUUGUGAGCAAAGUCAAUUUCAUUUCAUAAAUCUCAUCAUUGGUUACGAUCCUCGCCAUUGUUUUAAGACUAUCAUCAUCGCCGGCCACUUCAGAGGAUCAAUUAUCAUUUUUCAAUUUCAAAAAAAAUUAUAACCUAUAACCCUUGUAGUAGUGAUAGCGAAGACUAAGAGCAUUGAGCGUAAGAUCCAAAAAUUUAAACCUUAUAUUCUAUGCAGAUUUCCACCAUUCCAUUCAAGUUGGCAGCAUCGAUGACAUUGAUGUUUCUUCCCAUGAAACUAUGUUCCUCUAUUGGCCUGUUUUUCCUUCUUUUUUUUAAAGAAAAAAAAAUCAAAUUUGUUCCAUUUAAUGUUAAAAAUUGGAUUUUGCAUAUGACUCAUUUGGUGAUUCUCCUUCCAGUGGCUAUGCUUUUGUUGAAUAUGAAACUGAAAGGGAGUGUGACGAGUAUUAUGGGGAUGCAACAUGUUAAAGCUUUGUUGAAGUUUAACUUAUAAAAGAAGAGCAACACCUUGUUAGCUUCAAGUAUGCACGACAAGAAGAAUAAGAAAGUUGUUGUUAAGAAAGAGAAAGGAACUCUUUUUAGUCCAUGUUUCUUAUCUUCUUUUCGAUAUCCGUGUUGAUGGAGUAUAACUAAAAUUUUGUAAAGUGAUUUCCUACUGUUGAGACUAGGAUAAGAAGGUGAUGCAUUGAGUAACAGAUAAAUCCAAAAGUUGUGAAAAGUUUCCCACAUUAUAGGACCUAUGCCCCUUUCCCAUGCUAGAAGGCAUCUUAGUUCAAUAUAGACAUGGCAAUGGGGCCGGGCGGGGAUGAAUAUUGUCUCCCCAAUUUCCGAUCCCAACUCCCCCAACAUGUCCCAUACUUGUACCCGAUACUCGACGGUUUAAAAUUUAUUAUCUCAUUCCCGUACCCGUUGGGUAUCGAGUAUCCCUGACCCCGUCUCUUACCCGAUUCAUAUUAGAAAAAUAGUUUUUUUUACAAAGAAAAUAUUUGAAAUUUGAUUUUAGAAAAAAUAAAUUGAUUGUUAAAUAUUUAUUUUUAACUACUUAUAUAUCAAUAAAUUUAUUAUAGCACAUGUGUCUACAAAAAUUGUUAAGAAAAAAAUAUUAAAUCAUGUAAAAAAUUUAAAAUAAAAUUAGCUAGUAAUAAAAAUUCUAGGUCUUUUGAUUAAAUUAUGCAAAAAUUCUAAAAAAUUUAAGUGACGGGGCAGGUCCGGGUUCGAGGUCGGGGUGAAUGUAGUAAUCUCAUACUUGUACUCGUACCCGACUUUUGGUUAUCAGAAAAAAUCUGAACCCAAAUCCAUACCCGGUCAACUCGGGUAUUACCCAUCAAAGUCAGAACGGAUUCAGACAGAUACCCACGAGUACGGAUUUUCUUGUCAUGUCUAGUUCAAUAUUAAAUUAAAAACUUGCAAAAAUACAUAAAUAUGAUCGAUGCUUAUAAAAAUAAUUUUAAAUUAUCAUUUAAUUUAAUAAUGAAUUGUCACUAAACUUUUUUUUUAUAAAAAAAACUAUAUGAAAACAUACCUAACCUAAGAAUUCCUAAAUAAUUAAUAAUAUAAAAUUUAUAUAAACUCUUUGUUUUAAUAAUUAAAAAGGCCACGUGAUCAACACGUUUCCCAGGGCUACCAUACUACUUCCUCCUACAAACUUGCUGAGUUGACCCUGCCAAAGGGGACAUAUCAAAUAAAAAAAAACUUGGUAAUUACAAGAAACGAAAAAACUUAUUAAUGACCACGAUUAAAUUAAGAGCAAGGGAUCAAAUUAGUGUAAGUAAUUAAAGGUUUCGCACAGUUUCAGCCUCAUUCACCCUCCUAACCUGGUCCUAACUUGUUGGCGGUGUUGCCCCAUAAAUGAUAAAUAUAAUUAGGUUAGGUAGUGUACGAUUAUAGUUUUUAAAAACAGAUUUUAGGAUAAUAAAAAACCCAAACCUUUACGAUAACAAAACUGAAAUAAAACAUGCUUUAAGUAUAUUUAUCAUUAUUUUAAUAAAAAAAAUCUUCUCAUUUUAUUUCCUCUUCUUUUUUUCUUUUUCAUUUUUUUUGUCAUGUCUCUCUUUUUUCUACUUUUGUAGUUUGUACAGUAGAUAAUUCGCUUUAAGUUUACUCUUUGCCUUUCCAAAAUAGGUCUGUCCCUGGUAGUUCUAACUUCUAAUUCAGAGGAGCAGAUUUCAUAAUUGUCAUUCUCCCAAAUUUAAACAUUAUAUCCAAAAGAUUCUCUGUAUAUUAUACCUAUGAUGAUUUAAGUAAUAAAUUUACUUAUAAAUUAUAAAACUUACUUUAUAAGUAUUAUAGACAUGGGAUUUUACAUAAUUGCCAUCUAAUGUCGAUUAAUACGUGAGCUCCUUGUUUGUUUUAUCCUUUGAUGAUAUUUUAUCGCAUAUAUAACAGUGGUGCUAGCUUAGUCUGUUUGUAUUACAAUUAGUCUCAGUCCCCAACGACUGGUUCUGUUUUCUCUCUGCUGCUUCGAUUCAUUCACACAACCAUGACUAGCCUUACUAAUGGCGAUGCUGGCUCCCUCAACAAGGUCCCCACGAUCAAGUUCACCAAGCUCUUCAUUAAUGGAGACUUCGUUGACUCUCUGUCAGGUUCAUUUUUCAUACCUCUGCACUUUCUGUUGGUCUAUCUUUUCUGCUUCUUCUAGCUUUCUAUGCUCCUUUAAUUUCUAUUCCUUCUUCUGUAUUUUUUUCCCCAUUGAUGUACCUGGAUCAAAUGAAAUACACAUGUUAUUGUGGGUGUGACAUAAUUGAGGUCUAACUUAUUUUUAAAAAAUGACAUAUAACUUUAAUCUUAAGCAUAUGAUUAGAAGUUUGAUUUUAAGGUUGUUCUGUAUGAAAAAAUUUAUCAUAAAAGGUCAACUCUUUAAAUUGAUCUCAAGAAUUAGUCUUUCACUUCUUGUACUUGAUUAAGCAUUCAAUUCUUAUGUUCGUGUACAUGAAAAAAUAUUUAUAUGAGACAUCAAGUUAGAUGAACAAGUAUCUCGAUAGAUUAAUAUUUGACUCUUAGUAGAAGGAUAGCCUUGAUUCAAAUGAAAAGAAAUGAAAUACACUUACAAGAGACAAUAUAUUACCUCUAUUUCAGGUCACAUGUAAAGUCCUGAAUUAUGAUUUAACUCUAAAUAACGCGUAUGUUUGGAUUUUUGUCUGAACAAAAGUUUGUUUCUUGUAAGUUUGUGUUCAAACUAUAAUUUAGAGGUUAAUUAUCUAUACUUGUUAUAAAUGGUUGUGUCAACAGUACUACGUAUGGUGUCUCAACUCUCAACUGAGUCUUAUAUAUAUAUAUAUAACGAAUUUGUGUGUGUGUAUAUAUAUAUAUAUAUAUAUAUACAUACAUACUAAUAUGACUUUGCUAAAACUCUUGUUGUUGUUGAAAAAACAGGAAAGACAUUUGAGACAAUAGAUCCAAGAACAGGAGAUGUUAUAGCGAGGAUAAGCGAGGGAGAUAAAGAAGACAUUGACAUUGCUGUUAAAGCAGCACGUCAUGCAUUUGACAACGGUCCAUGGCCUCGCCUUCCCGGCUCUGUACGUUAUUUUUUCCCUUCUCUUAUUUAAUUUAUAUGUACCAGGUGAUUCAUAUAUGAUAAUCAUAAAUAUAAACAAUAGAUCUGUAUUCCCCCUAAUAAAAAAAUAAAAAUAAACCAUAGAUCAUGUGUAUAAAUAUAAUUAAGAUUACGGCGGAGUGCAGUAACUUCCCUUGGCUGAAUGAUUUUCCAAAGAUAUGGGGAAUGGAUUGACUUUUUCGAUCUUUUUAUAUUUAACUUUAAUGAAUUAUUAACGUAAAAAAAUUAACAUUUGUAUUUUAAAUAGUAUAUUUUCACAAUAUUUCACAAAACUGAUAUGUUUUUUAAUUGGUAAUAUGAUUAAAAUUAUUAAAUACCAUGUUCGUGUUGAUAUAUAUAAUUAUAUGUAUUGUAAAAGAAUUGACAUUAAAGAUACAUAGAAAAUUACGUAAAUCUUUUAAUAAAUAUUAUUAUUACUCAAGCAUGCAAAACCCAUGUGAUCCAGAUUGUUAUAUGAAUAAUUAAUAUCAACGUUCUUAUGUGAUUUCUGAUUAUUUAAUGCUAAACCCAUGUGAUCCAGAUUUGUAAUGCCGAUUCUAUAAAUUUCAAUUUUAUUUAAAACACGACUAUGCAUAAGUUACAAGUCACUCACAGUGAGUUGGAUUUAUGCAUUUAAAUAUGACUUACAUUUUUUACAUUUAAUUUUAAUAGUGUAAAAAAAUUAACACUUAUUUUAUCGUAUAUUGCCGUAUUAUUUCAUAAUCUUGAUACAAUUUAUAUUUGAAAUAUAUAUAAAUUUGUCAAAUAAUAUGUCGAUGUCAGCUUAUAUGAUACUGUGAGAAGAAUCACAUGAAAAAUAUAUUGAAAUUUAAAUACAUUUAUUAGAAUAAAUAUUAUUACCCCUAUGAUGCAAGCGUGACUAGCUAUGUCGGUUAGGUUUAAAUGUUACCAAAUGUAAACUUAAAAAACACACAUAACGAGACAUGAAUUUUUCUUAACAAAUUUUUUACGUUCAAACGGCCGUUUGAUGAUUUUAAAUAUUUGAAACACACAAUUACAAACUGUUAAUAAUUGGUUGACCCAAUGACCCCUCCCCUAAAAAUGGAAGAAGAAGAAGUAGAAGAUGUUAUAACGAAUUUAUAUAGAAAUUGUUGUAUAAAUAUCAUUUAGCAAUGGAGUCAUAUUAUGGCUUGAGGUAACUAGUGAUGGGUAUAUACUUAAGAUAAAUAUAGUUGGGUAUAAUCAACAGCUGUGAAAUAUUGAUAAAUUAAGAAUUUUGAGUUUUGUUUAAUAUGAUCAUGCUUAUAUUUUCGGGACUUUAUCGAUGUUUUGACUUAGUUAUUCCAAUAAAUAUUUUUUAAUCAGCCACUGGUAAUCUUGUAUGAUCAAGGUUUGUUUGUAAUAAUCAGGAGAGAGCAAGAAUAUUGCUGAAAUGGGCAGAAAUAAUUGAGGAAAACGCAGAAGAACUUGCAGCACUAGAUGCGAUUGAUGCGGGGAAGUUGUACCAUAUGUGUAGGAAUGUGGAAGUUCCAGCAGCGGCAAACACUCUUCGUUACUAUGCUGGUGCAGCCGAUAAGAUUCAUGGAGAGGUGUUGAAAAUGUCUCGAGAGUUCCAUGCCUAUACAUUACUUGAACCACUUGGUGUUGUGGGACACAUUACUCCCUGGAAUUUCCCCAAUACCAUGUUCUACAUCAAAGUCGCUCCUUCUUUAGCUGCUGGCUGCACCAUGGUCCUCAAGCCUGCUGAGCAAACACCCCUCUCUGCUUUGUUUUCUGCUCAUCUUGCUAAAUUGGUAUCUGUUUCCUCUACACAAGUUAUUACUUGUGCACAAAAGCUUAUUAUUUAUUGAGUUUUCCUUAUUUUGAAGGCUGGAAUCCCAGAUGGAGUGAUCAAUGUAGUGCCUGGAUUUGGCCCAACUGCUGGUGCUGCAUUAAGCUCACACAUGGAUGUUGAUAAGGUAAUUAAAUUUACAUGUCAAACAUUUACAAGUGCCAUGAUCUUAAAUAAGACUGGUUAAACGUUAUAUUAAUCUAUAUAUUUCAUUAUAUGUUUCUUAACUUUGGUGGAAUGUUCAGGUCAGCUUUACCGGUUCAACACAAACAGGCCGUGUGAUAAUGCAGGCUGCAGCAAAGAGUAACUUGAAACAAGUUUCACUUGAAUUAGGAGGCAAGUCACCCCUCAUAAUUUUUGAUGAUGCAGAUAUAGACAAAGCUACUGAGCUAGCUCUACUAGGCAUCCUAUAUAACAAGGUGAAUUUGCUUUCAGGAAAUCCUUUACUUUCAAAUAGCAUAUCCUGUUAAUUAUGUCUCUGCUAACAUUUAAUUUCUUCCUAUGUGACUAUAGGGAGAAGUUUGUGUUGCAAGUUCCCGUGUGUUUGUUCAAGAAGGGAUCUAUGAUGAAUUUGAGAAAAAACUGGUGGAGAAGGCAAAAGCUUGGGUCGUUGGGGAUCCCUUUGAUCCUAAAGUUCAACAAGGCCCUCAGGUAAGAAAAAUAGGUACUGCCACAAUUAUUUCUACACUAGUUCUCAACUAUAUAUAUAUAUAUAUAUAUAUAUAUGUCGGUUAUUUUCUUGUAACUCCAUAAUUUAAUAUUUCAAAAAUUGCUUAGAAGCUAGCUUUUUCAAACAGAAAUGAAGAAAUAAUUAAGAUCCUCGUCUAUUGGCUAACAAUUUUCUGUAUAUUGUAGGUUGACAAGGAACAAUUUGAAAAAGUUCUUUCAUAUAUUGAGCAUGGAAAGAAAGAAGGAGCUACCCUUUUGACCGGGGGUAAAACAGUGGGGAACAAGGGCUACUUUAUUGAGCCGACAAUUUUCUCCAAUAUAAGAGUAAAUUCCAAGUGCAUAAAGUUAUUAAUUAAUCGGGUAUCUUCAGCAUAAUUAGAUAACUAAUCAUCAUGUUUCCUUUGUAAAAUUUAUUAACUACCCGUUUGUAGGAGGAUAUGCUUAUAGCACAGGAUGAAAUAUUUGGCCCAGUGAUGGCACUGAAGAAGUUUAAGUAAGUUUAUUUUAAUGUUAUUGUGUCAUGUUUCUUGUUAAUUACCAUGGUGAAAUCCUCAUAUUUAUUAUGUUAACUAUUAUGAUAUAUGAACAACAGGACCACUGAGGAAGCAAUUAAGAGUGCUAACAAUACCAAGUAUGGCCUAGCAGCAGGCAUAGUGACCAAGAAUUUGGAUACAGCAAACACAGUGUCAAGGUCCAUUCGGGCAGGCACUAUAUGGAUCAACUGCUAUUUUGCCUUUGGCGAUGAUGUUCCCUUUGGAGGAUAUAAGAUGAGUGGAUUUGGAAAAGAUCAUGGAUUGGAAGCCCUUCACAAGUACCUACAAGUUAAAUCUGUUGUUACUCCCCUUUACAAUUCUCCCUGGCUUUGAAUGUCUACUGCAUGGAUCUUGGAAAAUGGUCCAUUCUGGCCAUUUCCUAUCAAUUUGCAUCUGCCAUGAGGCAUGGAAAUUCAGUUCUUGAACAGUGGUGUCUAUUAUAUUGUCAACAAGCUGGCCUUUUCCUACUUUUCAGUCAUGCUUUAAUAGAAAAUGUAUGGAAGAAAAACAGUAAUUUUAUUUUUGUUUGGUUUGUAAUUAAAAGGAAAUAUCAACACAAUUUAACUUAUUGCUUCAACAGAAUAUAUAAAUUGCUAUAAAUCUAUAUCUAUUUUUUAUUCAUAUUAAUAAUAAUAAUAAAAGAAAUAAAAUCAUCCAUGAGUUUUAUCUCAGCAAUUUCUACUCAAGCGAGUAGAAUCCAAAAAUUGGGAUUCAUGUACUUUUUAAAUGGAAAAGACUUUAUAAAUUUAACAAAUGUUAGAUUAUAAGUUUUAUAAUUUUAAAUUUUUCACAAGUAUUUAUAUUUCAACAAGAGUUUGUAGUCGUGACUAAUAACAAAUUAUUUAUAAAUAUAUAAAGGUAUAGAAGUUUCAUUGAGCUUUUUUAGCUACAACACCUAUUUAAAACUAAGAGAGAGAAUAAUAGAAGAUUAUAAAUGAUUUUGUAUUAUAAAUGUUAAUAAAAAUUAAUCCAUAAACAUAUAAAUUAUAGUUUUUCAUGAUAUUGUUUUAACUUUGCACCAUAUUCUUUAUUUUACUAAUUUACUAAAUAAUUUAACAUGUUUCAAUUUUAGAAGGACAAAAAAUAAAUAUAAAAAUAAAAAUUCAUAGGGAUGAAAACCAAUUUUUUUAAUUUUAUAAAAACAAAAAAAUAUGUUUUAGUCUUUUAAACAAAUUAACUUUAUAUUAUUUUCUCAUUCCUUUCUUUGUUAACUCAAAUAUAAUUUUUACUAAGAAAGAUUCAUCGAACCGGUAAGGAUCAGAGUGCAUCCCACAAGAAUCCGAGUUUAAGUCUCAUUGAUGUAAAUAUAGGGACCUUACUUAUGGAUAAUUUAUUAAUAUCUUUUAAGUGCUUAAUAGAUCUUAAAAAUAUUAUCUCAAAAUUCAAUUCACCUAAAUUUUUCUAAAAAAAAUCAAAUAUAACUUUAAAGUGAGUUGGCAUAAUCACCAUUCCUCCAUUGCAUAAUACCAUCGUAUCCUAAGAAGACAUCCAUUGCAUAAUACCAUCAUUCCGGAUUGUUGUAAAAUUGAAACAUGUUUAACUUUAAGAGUGCUAAAUAAUUUAACAUGUUUCAAUUUAUAGUUUAUCAUUUUUGCCGUAACGAAGAACUAGUUAUAUUGCAAGCAGCCUUAAAUUAUCAUUCGCGACAUCCCAUGGUAUGUUGCGCUUUUGUUUUUUUAUUCGGUGGAAAAAUUUCAAAAGAAGAAACUAUCCUGCACUGUCUCUAAACAGGAGUAGUGUGUGUUCAUCGAAGGAGGGGGAGGCCGAAUCCCAAAUACAAUAUUAAUUCUUUGCACCUUUCCAGAAGCACUAUAUUAAUUCUUUAAAUAAAUAAAAGGCAAAAUCACUAUUUUAAUUGUUUUUAAAAAAUAAAAAUUAAAUGGGGUUAGGUGGGGAAUGAUUUAAAUAUUCUUAAUGGAACUCUUAUUAAACAAUAAUGAUAGUAUUAUAUUCUAUUACCAGCAGGUAGCAGGUGUAUCAUUGGCGUUCCUUGCCUUUGCGAGAGCGCUGAUUUCUCCACCUAAAGUCCUAAAGUUGCGCCAAUUCAUGUUCUUAUCUUUGCAUUGCAUAUAUAUAUAUGUUCUUCGUAAUUAAUCAUAUUGCAACAUCCCGCGUACCGCCAGCGUCUCUACGACAAUCUCCUUUCUCUCUAACUCAUAACUCAGAUGAGUUCCCUCUCUAAUAACUCUAGUAGUAGCCACGGCAAUUCCUUCCUCCAGAUGCCCCCCAUCAAGUUUACCAAGCUCUUCAUCAAUGGAGAUUUCGUUGAUUCCUUAUCUGGUACUUGAAUAUUAAGACAAAUUUAAAUGUAAUAUUACAAGUAUUGUUAAUGCUAUUUUUAAUUUAAAUUAGCCUUUUUUAAUUAUUACUGUCAAUUUUCAAUUAUAAAAAAAUUGUCAAUUUUGACAAAUAAAAAAAAAAAAACAAGAAUGACAGUAACUAUGAAACGUUGAUGCGGGUUUGCAGUAAUUAAGGAUCUGAAACUAACUUUUAUCUUCUCUUUAGUGUGAAUUUGAAUCCUCUUUAUGAUCACUUUUUUGUUUGAUAGAUAAUUCUCCUUGAAGAGAUCUUCUCACUUCUAAGGGAUAAUUUGAGUAGUUAUAAUUAAGUAAAAUUACUUGUGAUUUAGGUUUAGGUAGCAAUAAUCAUCUAGGAGUUUAAAAAUAUAGUGUAUUGUUAAUUAUUUAGAUUUGAAAUAUUUUUAAAAAUUAUAAUUUAUUUUGAUUUCAUCUAAAUACAAAAUAGGCGGAUAUAUUUCUAACAAAAUUGUUUGUGAUUAUUUAUAUUGAAAUAAAAAAGGAAGGACAUUUGAGACUAUAGACCCCAGAACAGAAGAGGUAAUUGCAAGAGUUAGUGAGGGAGAUAAAGAAGAUAUUGAUAUUGCUGUUAAAGCAGCACGUCAGGCAUUUGACUCAGGUCCAUGGCCUCGCUUGCCCGCCUCUGUACGUUAUUCUUUUUCCUUUCUUUAAUUAAAUAUUUUUUUAUUCUUCCUUUCUCCAACUAAAUCAUCCCCAGUUUCUUACAUUAUAAACUUCAACAUGUAUUUUUUAAUUUAACUAAAUAAUGAAAAUUGUGAUAAUAUAUGUUUACUCAAAACUUUCGAAAGGCCAUACUUUUAUACAUACCAUUAUCAAUGACCUAUUCGGCAAUUCGAUCUAAUCGAGGCCAAGCAGUCCAAUGUUGAACAAGAUACUUAUGAACUCAUGUUUGACUUAGACGGAGUGUAUAUUGAGGAACAACAAACCAAACAUCAUUUGGUAGUCUAAGACUAUUAACUGUUUGCCGGCUAGACAUAUAUUUAAUUUUUUGUAUUUUACCAUAAAAGCUAAUAACACUUAAUUAUAUGCAUAUAAUCAUGCAUAAUAACUGAGUAGAUACAAUGUGAUAUAAGACUACCUAAUAAUUUCUCAAAAUAAACAUAUGUUUUGAGUAUGCUUUGGUGGGAAAAACUUCUAGUUAGCUCCUAAUUAGAAGAAGCAUGUUGAGUAUCUUAAUUGAAAUUUAUAUUUUAAUUGUGCGAUCAUAAGUCUGACUUUUUUUUACAGCAAACAUACGACUGACAUUAAGCGGGCAAUUAAGUGGAAAAAUUCAAUUGUAAAGUAAAUAUUGGAAUGACAAAUGUGAAUGGAAAAAUUUAAUAUUAUUUAAGAAUGAAAAAAUUAAACAACUUAUAAAUAAAUAAAUAAAGGCUAAAAUAAACUCACGUGUGUGGUUUAUGUUUAUUGAUGAAGAUUUCUAUGAUAUUUUAUUCUUUUAUAUUUAGUAAUAGAAUAAAUUUAUUGUACUUUUGUGAUUAUUUAUAAUUUAAUUGUUUAUUUUCUUGUUUGAAUUUUUCCUUCUAUCACUUCUAAUCCUCUUUAAAAAUCUUAAUUAAUAUUGACAUCGUAUGCUAUACCAGGAAAGGGCAAAAAUUAUGAUGAAAUGGGCAGACCUAAUUGAUGAAAACAUAGAAGAACUAGCAGCAUUAGAUACCGUUGAUGCUGGCAAGCUGAACUAUAUUAAUAAGGUUGUGGAAAUUCCUUCAGCUACAAAUGCGUUACGAUACUAUGCAGGUGCGGCUGAUAAAAUUCAUGGUGAAGUAUUAAAAAUGAAUGGGGAUUUUCAUGCAUAUACACUUUUGGAACCAAUUGGUGUUGUGGGACACAUAAUUCCAUGGAAUGCCCCCAGCCUCUCGUUUUUCAUCAAGGUUAGCCCUUCCUUAGCUGCAGGCUGCACCAUGGUCCUCAAACCUGCUGAACAAACACCCCUCUCUGCCUUGUUUUAUGCUCAUCUAGCUAAGUUGGUAUGUAUCAACACAUAGUUUCAUUUCCUUAUCAAACAUAUUUAGGCUAAUUGUGUUGGGUUUGUCCCUUUUAAAGGCUGGAAUCCCAGAUGGUGUGCUUAAUAUAGUACCUGGAUUUGGCCCAACCGCUGGUGCAGCAAUAAGCUCACACAUGGACAUAGAUGUGGUAAUAAGAAGUUACAUGUCAAAUAUUUACAAGUACUUACUAUUCUCUUAAUUGACUUGACUAAUAAAAUUUCAAUUUCCUUGAUUGUGUUGUGUAUCUUCAGGUCAGUUUUACUGGUUCAAUUGAAGUAGGGCGUGAAGUGAUGCAGGCUGCAGCUAGGAGCAAUUUAAAACCAGUUUCACUUGAAUUAGGAGGCAAGUCUCCUCUCAUUAUUUUCAAUGACGCGGAUAUAGACAAAGCUGCCCAGCUUGCUCUCUUUGGCAUCAUGUCUAACAAGGUGAAAUUCCUUCCUUUCAAGGGACAUCUUGUAAUAUAUAUAUAUAUAUAUAUAUAUAUAUAUAUAUAUAUAGUAUAACAAUAUAACAAGCAUGCCAAACCAACUGAAUAUUCUUCUUAUUCUUAUUGGAAAAAUGUGAACUACAUAUGUAAAUUAUUAAAUCUUAUUAAUCAAAAUUAAAAGAAAAAUAUAAAUAAUUUAAUGUGCACAGUAAAAUAAUUUUAUACUUCAAUCAUAAAUCAUUAUUUAAAUUAUUUUAAGAUAAUUAUCUUAAAACUUAACACAUUUAUAUAUAUGAUGAGUUAUAAUUGAAUAAUUGUGUAAAAGAAUUUAUAUUAUCAAUGUGUAAUCUUUUUUCUUAAAUAAUAUUAAAUGAGUUUUCAAGUGGUUUCCGGAUAUUAACUAACUUUUUAUUUUCAUCAUCAAUAUGUGGUUGAAUGAGCCAUGUUUAUAGUUGUAGCCAAUAAAUUAUGUACUUCCUGUUUGUGCUUUCAGGGAGAAAUUUGUGUGGCAAGUUCUCGUGUGUUUGUCCAGGAAGAGAUCUAUGAUGAAUUUGAGAAGAAGUUGGUGGAGAAGGCAAAAUCUUGGGUCGUUGGGGAUCCUUUUGAUCCCAAAUCCCUGCAAGGGCCUCAGGUAGGGACAAUAUAUAUGAUAGCAUGAUUUUGUUUACACUCAUUCUAAAAUAUAUUUGGUCCGUCCUUUUCUUUUUUUACUAGUAACUCGCUAAAUAGGAAAAUGAAUUUUAGUAAUUAGUACAAAUUUAUUUGGUCAAAUAUUAUGAAAUGACAUUGUGUUAUUUUUUUUUAUAGAUUUCCCAUAUAUAUUUUUAGGGGUGUUUGUUUUAUGUCAUCUUCUUUUAUUUCUAAGAAUGUGAGAAGAGAAUAGAAAUGAAUAUUCUCAUAUUUAUUAGAAGAUUUAUUAGAAGGUUAUGAUAAUAUAUUUUAUUUUUAGGAAAAUUAUGUUCUCACGUUGUAAGUAGAUUGUAUUCCCAUGAGUAGGUGGUGGGUAUCUAUAUUUUCAUUCGAACUAACUUUUAACUUUUUCUUUCACUUUUAGGUUUUUAAAAAUUUUAAUUAUCUAAAAUUUAGCUGUUUUUUAAAAUUACUCAAUAUUAACCAAACAUAUUCAUGAUCGAGUAUAAUAUAACAUUCCUAGAUAUAUUCUUGAAAAUAUGAUUCCUGAAAAUAUAAAAUUAUACGGCGAAGCAAACGUUCCUUGAUCAUCAUCCAGUGUAUUUUGUCUCGUUUGGUCAUGGUUGCAAAUUCUUGAACUCUAUUUUUGUACCAUAUUCUUCGUCUGAGAUAACACAAUACUCCAAGUAUAUAGUUCAAACAUUUGAAUAAAUAUACGUUUACUUUCUCUUUUAUCCCAUCUUCACUAUAUUUUUUGGUGAAAUUUAUCAUAACUUGUUUUCUAUUAUAGGCUGACAGGAACCAAUUGGAGAAAAUACUCUCCUAUAUUGAACACGGAAAGAGAGAAGGAGCUACCCUUUUGACCGGAGGUAAUACAGUGGGCAACAAAGGUUACUACAUAGAACCUACAAUUUUCUGUAAUGUAAAGGUAAAUUUUAAUUUCAUCAAAGUCUCAACCUCGGUAUCUUCAGCAUAGUUUGAUAACCUCUAAAAAAAAGCAUAGUUUGGUAACUAACCAUCGUGCUUUUAUUUUGCUUAUGAAAACAAAAAACCUGUUUAGGAGGACAUGCUUAUAGCACGAGAUGAAAUAUUUGGCCCUGUACUAGCGCUGAUGAAGUUUAAGUAAGUUAUAGUUUAAUUUAAUGAUUUUUUUUAUUGAUGUUUAGUACCCAUAAAAAAAGUGUAUGCGGGUUUGUUCAUGAACGUUGAAAUUAAGUAUGAUAUAUGGUAUGAACAGGACCAUGGAGGAAGCAAUUAAAAGUGCUAACAAUACCAAGUAUGGCCUAGCAGCAGGAAUUGUGACCAAGAAUUUGGAUACUGCAAACACUAUGUCAAGGUCCAUUCGUGCAGGCAUUGUUUGGAUCAACUGCUAUUUAACCGUAGGGAGUGACGUUCCUUUUGGAGGGUAUAAGAUGAGUGGAUUUGGAAGAGAUUUGGGAUUGCAGGCCCUUCAUAAGUACUUACAAGUUAAAUCUGUUGUAACACCUAUUCACAAUUCUCCUUGGCUUUGAAUAAUUGAAUGUCUCCUACAUGAGCACAUAUGCGUGUCUUCUCUCAUUUGAAAUAAAUUACACUUUAUUUCCUUAUGAUGUAUGACUUAAAAAUACUUAGUCUCUUGUAUUAUGAGUUCUUUGUUUUAUUACAACGUUGUUAACUUAGUAUAGUUUUUAGAGAGAAACAACAAAUUAUAACUAUUACAUUUUUUCUUCCCAUUGACGUGAAAAUGUUCCAAGAUCCAAGGUUGUAACUUAGAUGCAAUCACACCAUCAAUCUUUUAAAGGAGAUAGUGCCAAUUUACUCUAAUUUAAAACCGAUCACAAAAUUAUCUUUGUAUAUGAAUCAUAAAAAUAGCAUUUACAAAUCGUAUUUUUACAUAUAUGGGCUUACUAGGCUAGCGCGUUGUUUGUGGGCUGAAAUCAGGACCGGGUGGACUACAUACCAGUACACAAAUUUUUUUUAAAAAAAUCACCAGUACACAAGCGGCCCAUGUUUAUUAUGGAUAAAAAAAUACACCAUAAAGUUUUUCAAAAAAAUAAAACUCUAGAGUGUAGCCUAAAAUAAAUGUAGCUUAACAAAUGUUUUGAGGAAUGUUUGGAAGUAAAAUUAGGAAAAAUAUGAGAAAAAUAAUAUUUUAUUUCUUAUAAUUUCCAAAAUAAAAGAAAUAGAUUAUAGAUUAACAUAAUUUUAGUGUCUUAAUAUUUUUUAGAUAAACAUUAUAUAAUCCUAUUAAUUUAAAAUAUUAAAAUGUCUUAUUUUUGUUUUCUAAAAUUUCACUCUUAAACACAUACUUAGUUGUUGUUUUUUUAGAUUAAGUAAAUGUUUGGAUUUCAGUUGAAAGAGCUCAAAAGUAUUCUUAAUAUCAAAAUAGCAAUCUUCUUCAUUUUGAGUAUUGAAAUUUGGAAUUGUGCAUUGAAAUUCAGAAGAAGAAAAUACUUUUCUAAAUUUUAUCCAAGUAUAGCCUAGAUUAGUUAGUACGUUUCUAAAUUAUUUGAUUAAUUAUAAACAAGUCUUCAUAUUUUUUAAAAAUUGUAAUUGGGUCUUUAAUUAAUAAGAAUUAUUUGUAAUUGGGUCCCUAUAGGUUCCGUCGCUAAAACAUGUAGUCCGAGCAGUUGUCAUUAUUAAAGGAAGUCUCAAUUAUAUCCAAUCAUUUGGUUAACUUUUAAUGAGCAUUAUUUCGGCAAUCAAAAAGGUGGUCGUGGACUAGAGGAGCAGAAAAUUAACCAAAAAAGUUCUCUGCCAAACACAGAUUAAUUUUUUAAAAAGAAUUAACAAGCAUCAUUUGUAUUUUCUAGAUGUAUCUUACCUAACCUUUUCUAUCAAGUAUGCGAACUGAGCUGGUGUUAAAAGGCUGGUAUUUCCUCUGUUGUGGGUUUACGCGUUUUGCAGAGAAUCCACUUUCUCAUGGUUUAUUUAGAAGUUAGAACAACACAAAAGUUUAUGAUUCUAACGUGCCAACAAGUUUAUGUCUUGGGAAAAAAAUAGUGAACCAAUUCUUUUUCAUUCUAUAAAUCUCUCUGUUGCUUUCUUUAUAAGACUUUUUGCAAUAAAUUGAUUAAUUUUUUAGUGGAGGAGUACCGGCGGAGUAAUGAAGUCCAUGUAGUGGUUCUCAUGUUCAACAUAAUGACCAUAGAAUAGUUGAGUUUGGUUGCCUACUUUAUGAUUCAUUGCGCUAAAUUUGAUAGUGCCCUAUAACUAUUUGAAAGCUUUAAGUUGUAAUGGGUUGUAUAUUCCUCAAAUGUAGGUACAUUUAAGCAAGUUCAUCUCAAACAAACCAAAAUCUCUAGAGUUAAGUAAAAUUGAUUUUCAUUGAAUAAUUUAAAAUUGUUGAAGGUGAAUAAAUCUAAGUUUUUUUUUCUUUUCAUAAUGACAAGAGUGAAGACUGAACCUAAAUUCACAUACUUUUGUUCUAACUCUCAUUACUAAGCUGAUCUUAUUGGGUAUAUUAAAACGGACGCAGCACAUUAUCUAAUCAUUCAAAUUAUUAAGAGGACACGUACAGAUUCAAACAUCUAGUUUCAAGUGCCGGUGAACAAAAUCCCUAGAAAAGUAGGAAUAACAUAGGAUCAAGAUUUUUUUACAAUCAAAAGCUGGUUGCCUAGUUGGCACUUUGUAACACAAAGAAAGGUUACUUAAUUGUUUGAAAAAACAUUUCAGUUAGUUUUUAGUUUUUUUAUUAGUUAAAAUUUUUAUUUAAUUAUUUGAUAAAUAAUUUUUUAUAGUUACUUUUUUAAUAAUUUCUAAUAUUUUUUAAAAUUUAUUUGAAAUAGUAUGUUUAAAAUAUUUUUUAUUUUUAUCUUUGACAUAUUUAUUAAAUUUUUUUAUUUUUUUAAAAAUAAAUCAUGAUUUUAUUAUUUUUUAUUUUACAUUUUUUAAUUAUUUCAUCAACUAAUUUUAUUGAUACUUAUAGUUUAAUAAAUUAGUUUAUAGCUUUUAGCUCUCAAAAUUUCAAACUUCCAACUAAUUUUAUAAAAAAAUAACACCAUUUAAUAGGAAGAAAUAAAUAAAAAGAAAAGAAAAUUAUCAACUAUAACUAAACAUAUGAGUAUUUGGAAAUCGUGUGUAAAAAAAAAAUUACAACUCAUAAUUAUAAGAUGGUCAAGAGUGAUUUCAACUAUUCUCGUUCCUGCCGCUAUUAAGAAUAGGAUGGAUUUAAAAGAGACAAGUAUAAAACAUUAAGAUCUAACUCUAUCUUCCUGCAUUUUUGGAUGCCUAUCCAGGACUAGAUGUGGAACCUUAUUACAUUAGUUUUUGCAUUUUUUUCUCAAUUGACGUGAACUUAGAGUAUAGACUAUAUAGAUUUUGAUGUAGUAGAACCAAACGCACGGUCCUUCACAGUUGGAAAAUCUGCAGAGAACAUGUCCAUCUUUAUUUUGUAAUGGGAAAAAAUUAAAUUAAUUCUGUAUAUAUUAUAGUAUACAGCUAUUCAAAAUACAAUUUAAUAAAAAAACUCAUCAAAAUACAACUAUAAAUUUUAAAUUAUAUUUCUAUUAAAUUUUAAACUAACAAACAAACAAUUAACAUUUAUCCAUCAAUAAGAAAAUAUAUUCACAGUAGAAAAGACAUUUAAGUUUGACAAGCGAUCUAAUAACUUAGUUAAAUUUUGAAAUAAAAUAGUCUAAAAUAUUUUAGUAAACUUGAGAAGUUAAUCUAAUUCAAAUUAUAGUAUUUUAAUCUAGUCUAAAUUGCUUCGAAACCUGCUAGUUUCAAUAUUUGGACUCUGAUUGCUUUCUCUAUACAAUGGUUACAGAUUUACAGUCAUUCAACAAAGCAGACCGCGUUAAUUGUUAAUGUCGUUAUGCAAUUCUUAAUUGGAAUUGGAACGAAGAUGGGUCAGUGCUGGAUGAAGUUUACAAAUUUGAUUUUGAACACUUUUAUAAAAUUGAUUUUGAUUAAAAUAAUGUGAUUUAUAUGUAAAUAUUUUUAUUAUAAAAACAAGUUAUGUUUUAUAAAUAAAAUUUAAUAUAAUUUUUUAAAACCAACAUAAAUUAUUCAAGAUUAUUUUAACUUAAAGUAAUUUAAAAUACAAAAUCAACCUUUCUUCAAGAUAAAACUAAACAAAUAAAAAAAAUUAUUUAAAAUCAAUUUUGUAAAAUAAGAUGGAAGACACACCCAUGAUUUUUGGACUAAAAGUGUAGUGUAUAGGUGGUGCGUGUUGAUGUGCAAGCUAUGCGGACGCGGUGCACCGUAAAUCUCAAGGCUGAUGAGAUGAUCCAGCUGGGAGUAGGAGCAACGUGAGUGACGCGUGGGUCCCAAUGGCGACACUAUCCACCGGUUGUCGUUUUGCCUUCCGCAGGGGACAGGUUUCAUCCGCCAUGUUUAGUGGGUCCCAAUCCCAGAGGAGAACGUCCACAGUAAUUUGAUAUGGACGCGCAACACAUGAACAUGAAAUCAAACUCACGGGACGGAGGCCUCAAUCAGCUCCUGUUAGCUGUGAGCCUUGGUUUUUUAUUUUUAUGAUUUACGUACAAAUUACAAUUUGAGAAAAUUAUUCGAAAACAAAUUAACAAUUCCUAAUCAUCUUAUUUUUAUCAUCUUUUUCUAUUCUAAAUACUCAGUUUGUUGUCUAUCAUAGUCUUGUUAAGUUAAUUUUCUUUUCACUUUUAAUUAUGGUUUUCAAAACUAGAUUGGAUCAUUCAAUUCAAAUGGUCGGAUAAGAUGUUAAUCUGAUAAUUGGUUCAUUAAUAACUUAAAAAAUCCGACACAUCUUAAAACUGUUAAACAAUCAAACAAAUAAAAAGUUAAUUUAAAAAUAUAAUAUCUUUCAAAAUAUAUUUUUUUUAACUUCUUUUAUCAUUUCAAUUUAAUUUAAAAUAAUUAGUAUAUAUAAAUUAAUAAUUAUUUAAGUAUUACACCCAAAUAUAAAUUAUCUUACCAAUUAUUAUUUACUUUAGAGUCAACAGAGUAACAAAUGAAAUGUGUUUUUAUCGUGAAUACAAAAAUUGAGUAGCAUACUAAAAUUCAAUUUUAAUCGAAAAGAGUAUUAUUAGUAACACAAUUUCUAACAUGCUUUGCCAAACAUAAGUGGAUUCAUUGUAGUUGCUUUUCCAAUUGCACUAAAUCUACGCCCUUAACUUUAUAUUUUAUGACAAAAAAAAUACAUAAAAUGAGAUGAAAAAAAUCUUUUAAAUUGCUCAUUCAUGACGGCACCCUGCAAUUGUUUGUCAACUACAAGGAAUCCUAAAUCCUUUCUAACUUACUCCCUCCAUUCUAUAAUAAGUUUUGUCCUAGUCUUUUUUUUUACACAAAUAAAACAAGGCAAUAAAUAUAUGAAAUAAAAUAAUUAUUUUAUCAAAUUAAUCUUAUUAUUAAUAUUAAUUGAAAAGGUAAGAUAACAUUUAUUAGGGAUAUUAAUAAAAAAAAAGUAAUCAAUGUUACAUUGAAAACUAAUGUGACAUUUAUAUUGAAAUUUAUUUUUUUUUCUUUCACCACACUUAUUUUGAGAUGGAAGAAAUAUUUUUUAUUAAUUAAAAUUUAUUAAAAAAAGAAAAAUCACAGUAAAAUUCAUUAAUUAAAAACUGAGACUCACCAAAUUUUAUAAUUUUUAAUUAAUUUCUUCUAAUAAUAAAGAGGGUAAUAAUGAGAAUGUAUUAUGCUUUCUCAUACUAAAUAGAUACAAAUUAAAAUAUAAUGGUAAACAAAUUCAUUAACAUAUUGUAAACAGAGACGGAUGUAGAGGGGAUGGGGUAGGGCCCAAUCCCUUCCUUUGAACUUGUAUAUAUAUAUAUAUUCGUAUAUGUUUAUAUUAUAAUAAUUAUUAAGAUUAAUUAGUAUAAAGUUUUUUAAAGUAGUCAAGAUUACCUACGAUUUGAAAGUGCUUUUAAUGCUCCUUCCGAAACUCAACAAACCCAAUAAAAAUACAGAGAUAUUAAAUGUCCCAAGUUACAAAUAUCAUAUCGCAAAUUAUUACGAAAUGAUCAUCUUAAAAAAAAGUGAGCAACUAAUAAAACGUAUUUUCUCAUUAAUUGAAAAAUAUGAAUACCUUAUUAAAGUUUAAAUAUCAUAAUUAAAGGGUGCAGAUAAAGAUUAAAAGAAAAGGUGCAGAUAAAACAAUCUAAUGAGUUAAAUCUGUGCAGAUAAAAAGAAACGUAUUUUUCUCAUUAUAUAUAUAUAUUUUUUACAUCAAAUAGCGACAGAUUAAAAUACUACUACCGUACCAUGAAUGAAAAUUUUCAAUGUAAUCUUACAAAACCUAAUGAGAACAAAAGUAAAUAAUGGAAAUGGGUUUCAAGUUUUUGACGGGAACGUAGGCAUCGCCAAUGAAAAAGUCCAUCCAAGGGUAAUCAAGUUUUUGACGGGAACGUAGGCAUUGCCAAUGAAAAAGUCCAUCCAAGGGUAAUGACGUGGGACUCGAUAGAGCGUCGAUUGCUCUCUUCCUUCUUCAGUUCAGAGCGUGUGAUACCAACCAACACAUCCAAACAAAAAUUACUGCACCUUCCACAGGCCAAUUAAAUCCACUCUAAUGUCUGCCAAUAUCAACCACCAAACUUCAAUUUUAAAUAAAUUGGAUUGCUCGCCUAAAUUUGCCACCACCGACUCCUUCCUUAUUUGUAAGUUAAUUAUUACGUUUAAAGAAUUACAGUUUCUGUCAAACAAGUGAGGCAUUGCACCUUGUAAGUUAUAACCAAACACCCCCAAAUCCUUGUUAAUACUUAAAAUAGUCAUGAAUAAAGCAACAGACUGAGUGAACAGAACAGAGAGAAACAAAGCAUUACUUAUUAAAAUAUUUGUUAGUAGCAAUUGAAUAUCGCUGGCUGGCAGAGUACGUGUCUACGAAUUUAAAGGCAACCCAGCAGAGUACGAAUCAACUCUACUCCUCUCAUUUGGGUCCGUUUUGAGAUACUACACUACACAUGCACAAAACAGAAGGAGAAAAGAAAAGAAAUGUAUUUUCAUGUUUAAAAAAUAAAAAUGGGAGAGAGAGAGAAUCUGGUGGGCUUUGAGCUGUGAUAUAGCUGUCCCUUUGAUGAAUUAUUUCUGUCUUGCAUCAUACUCUCAUAAAGAGUGGCCUCUCAGGCUCUAAAACUAGAACAACAAACCCUUCUCCUUCUUUCUCAUUAGUGUGAGAUGAUGAUGAUGAUGAAGAAGAAGGACGCAGCAUACUCCUCCAUUCUCACACUACUCCUCAUUGCCACACUACUCUCCCUAACCGUGUCUGCCUCUUCACUCUCCGACGCCGAAGCAAUGUACGUCAAACAACGCCAGCUUCUCUACUACCGAGACGAGUUCGGCGACCGAGGUGAGAAUGUCAUCGUUGACCCUUCUCUUGCUUUCGAAAAUGACCGUCUCAGAAACGCUUAUAUAGCCUUGCAAGCUUGGAAGCAAGCCAUUUUGUCUGAUCCCCGUAACCAGACAGCCGAUUGGGUUGGAUCCGAUGUGUGCAGUUACACCGGAGUUUACUGUGCUCCCGCUCUGGACAUCCCCAAGAUCCGUACCGUUGCCGGCAUUGAUCUCAAUCAUUGCGACAUUGCCGGUUAUUUACCCGAAGAGCUUGGCUUGCUUCUGGAUCUUGCACUCUUCCACGUCAACUCCAAUAGAUUCUGCGGCACCGUGCCGCACAAGUUCGAGAGGUUGAAACUGCUCUACGAACUGGAUCUCAGUAACAACAGAUUCGCAGGGAACUUCCCUGAGGUAGUUCUGCGUCUUCCAUCACUCAAGUUCCUGGAUCUCAGGUUCAACGAAUUCGAAGGAACGGUGCCGAGAGAGUUGUUCGAUAAGGAUCUGGACGCCAUUUUCAUCAACGACAACCGUUUCGUAUUUGAUCUUCCGGACAACUUCGGCAACUCGCCGGUCUCCGUCAUCGUCCUCGCCAACAACAGGUUCCACGGCUGCAUUCCGGCGAGCUUGGGGAACAUGUCCAACUUGAACGAGAUCAUUUUGAUGAACAACGCAUUCCGAUCGUGCUUGCCUUCGGAGAUUGGGCUUUUGAAGAACCUGACGGUGUUCGACGUCAGCUUUAAUCAGCUUCUUGGUCCCAUACCGAACGCAGUUGGAAACGCCGUUAGCUUGGAGCAGCUCAAUGUGGCGCAUAACUUGCUCUCUGGUCAAAUUCCAGCUAGCAUUUGUAUGUUGCCUCACCUUCAGAACUUCACUUAUUCCUUUAACUUCUUCACCGGUGAGCCUCCCGCAUGUCUCGCAUUGCCGGCGUUUGAUGACAGGGUAAACUGCUUACCGGCGAGGCCUCUGCAGAGGCCUCCGGCGCAAUGUAAGUCGUUCUUGUCUAAACCUGUGGACUGUAACUCCUUUAAGUGUAAACAUUUUGUUCCUUCACCUCCAUCACCUUCACCAUUUCCUUCACCUACAGCACCGGUAACACCUUCUCCAUCACCUUCUACGCCUUCACCAUUUCCUUCACCUACAACACCGGUAACACCACCUUCACCCUCACAUUCCCCUCCAUCACCUUCUACGCCUUCACCUACAACACCGGUUACACCUUCUCCCUCACAUUCACCUCCAUCACCUGCUACACCUUCACCAUUUCCUUCACCUACAACACCGGUAACACCUUCACCCUCACAUUCCCCUCCAUCACCUGCUACACCUUCACCAUUUCCUUCACCUACAACACCGGUAACACCUUCACCCUCACAUUCCCCUCCGUCACCUGCUACACCUACAACACCGGUAACACCUUCACCUUCACAUUCCCCUCCGUCACCUGCUACACCUUCACCAUUUCCUUCACCUACAACACCGGUAACACCUUCACCUUCACAUUCCCCUCCGUCACCUGCUACACCUUCACCAUUUCCUUCACCUACAACUCCUGUAACACCUUCACCUCCAUCGCCUUCUACUCCUUCACCCUUUCCUUCACCUACGACACCUGUGACACCUUCACCUGUUCAUAGUCCUCCUUCUCCAGUGUAUUUGCCACCGCCACAUUCUUCCCCUACACCACCUGCUCAUAAUUACGGCUCUCCGCCACCCCAUCACUCACCCGCUCAACCUGUUUAUCCUUAUUUAUCACCGCCACCUCCUCCCUCUGUCCAUUCUUCACCUCCACCACCACCACCACCACCUUGUAUAGAACUUCCUCCACCCCCUCCCCAAUCUACACCUUCUCCCACACCUUACCUGCCACCACCAUCCCCAUCUCCUCCCCCGCCACCGCCACCGGUAUACCAUUCUCCACCGCCGGCAUCACCGCCUCCGUGCGAAACUCCACCUUCAGUUUCUCCGCCUCCACCACCUGCCCCAGUAUACGAAGGGCCAUUACCACCUAUCGUUGGACUCCCAUACGCGUCGCCUCCAC